RNAcentral lists this ribosomal RNA (459 nucleotides) under uncultured bacterium. Its description in RNAcentral is "partial 16S ribosomal RNA". It matches the Rfam family "Bacterial small subunit ribosomal RNA", at positions 338 to 795 of the family's 1533-position model. The record is from RNAcentral.
CCUACGGGUGGCAGCAGUGAGGAAUAUUGGUCAAUGGACGGAAGUCUGAACCAGCCAUGCCGCGUGCAGGAAGACGGCUCUAUGAGUUGUAAACUGCUUUUGUACAAGGGUCAACCUGAAUACGUGUAUUCAGCUGAAAGUACUGUACGAAUAAGGAUCGGCUAACUCCGUGCCAGCAGCCGCGGUAAUACGGAGGAUCCAAGCGUUAUCCGGAUUUAUUGGGUUUAAAGGGUGCGUAGGCGGGAUGCCAAGUCAGCGGUAAAAAUGCGGUGCUCAACGCCGUCGAGCCGUUGAAACUGGCGUUCUUGAGUGGGCGAGAAGUAUGCGGAAUGCGUGGUGUAGCGGUGAAAUGCAUAGAUAUCACGCAGAACUCCGAUUGCGAAGGCGGCCUGCUGGACUGCAACUGACGUUGAGGCCCGAAAGCGUGGGGAGCAAACAGGAUUAGAUACCCCAGUAGUC